UGGGGAAUCUUGCACAAUGGGGGAAACCCUGAUGCAGCGACGCCGCGUGAACGAUGAAGCCCUUCGGGGUGUAAAGUUCUUUCGACAGGAACGAUAAUGACGGUACCUGGAGAAGAAGCUGCGGCUAACUACGUGCCAGCAGCCGCGGUAAUACGUAGGCAGCGAGCGUUGUUCGGAGUUACUGGGCGUAAAGAGUGCGUAGGCGGCGAGCCAAGUUUGGUGUGAAAUCUCCCGGCUUAACCGGGAGGGUGCGCCGAAAACUGGUUGGCUGGGGUAUGGGAGAGGAAAGCGGAAUUCCUGGUGUAGCGGUGAAAUGCGUAGAUAUCAGGAGGAACACCUGCGGUGUAGACAGCUUUCUGGACCAAAACUGACGCUGAGGCACGAAAGCGUGGGUAGCAAGCA
RNAcentral lists this ribosomal RNA (402 nucleotides) under uncultured bacterium. RNAcentral's name for it is "bacterial SSU rRNA". It matches the Rfam family "Bacterial small subunit ribosomal RNA", at positions 355 to 774 of the family's 1533-position model. The record is from RNAcentral.